Molecule: ribosomal RNA, 441 nt
Filed under: uncultured bacterium
Lineage: Bacteria
Description: partial 16S ribosomal RNA
Rfam family: Bacterial small subunit ribosomal RNA
Source: RNAcentral
CCUACGGGGGGCAGCAGUGGGGGAUAUUGCACAAUGGGGGGAACCCUGAUGCAGCGACGCCGCGUGGGUGAAGGAGUGCUUCGGCAUGUAAAGCCCUAUCGGCAGGGAAGAAGCAAGACGGUACCUGACUAAGAAGCCCCGGCUAACUACGUGCCAGCAGCCGCGGUAAUACGUAGGGGGCGAGCGUUAUCCGGAUUCACUGGGUGUAAAGGGAGCGUAGACGGCCAUGCAAGCCAGGGGUGAAAGCCCGGGGCCCAACCCCGGGACUGCCCUUGGAACUGUGCGGCUAGAGUGCGGGAGGGGCAGGCGGAAUUCCUGGUGUAGCGGUGAAAUGCGCAGAGAUCAGGAGGAACACCGGCGGCGAAGGCGGCCUGCUGGACUGCGACUGACGUUGAGGCUCGAAAGCGUGGGGAGCGAACAGGAUUAGAUACCCGGGUAGUC